Molecule: non-coding RNA, 816 nt
Organism: Misgurnus anguillicaudatus (oriental weatherfish)
Lineage: Eukaryota; Metazoa; Chordata; Actinopteri; Cypriniformes; Cobitidae
Source: RefSeq, a predicted model, not a curated record
ACAGGUAAGCUUCAUACAUUAAUUUUUAAAUAAUAUAUUUAGAGGACUCUGCUUUAACACUUAGGAUAAUGAUUUGUUAAAGUGUUAAAAAGCGAAUACAUGUAUAUUGAACAUUACGUUUAUUAAACUAAUUAUGAAAAGAAUGUGGUACAACAUGUGUUUAGUUUUUUUAUUGAUAUUUCAGAGAUUUCAUAUGUGAGGUAAUCUUGCUGGGAGUGAAGGCAGUGCUUAUGACCACUUGAUAUGAGAGACACAUCCUGUUUUUAAAGGUGGAUCAUGAGUGAAGCUCUGCAGGUCGGCCAUUGACUUGAUAACAGUGGUUUAUUUUUAUUCAAUUUAUGAAUAAAUCUCUCGCCAACCAUUCACCUAUUUACUGACAAAACAGAUCCAAGUCUUGUUCAGCCUGAUGCUCAACCUUGUAUGAUGAUGACCACAGCCAGGUGAUGGAGAUCUGUGUUAAUCACAGCCUGCGUCUUAAGAUCAACAUGACAAUAGCGGCAAUCUUUUAUCUUACUCUUAUCUGACUAAACAUUGGAUGGAGUAUGUACUGUACAAUGACCCAGCAAACAAAAUAAUAUGGACUUUUUUGGCGAGAUUCUAACAUUGACACAUUAAUUUUUACAGUUAGUAAUGUAUUAUUAACAUCCCAUUCAUUUGUAUUCUAUGCCAUCUAUCUGUUUGUGCUAAAGUGUUUACAUCUGAAUGUAAUGUCAUAAUAUGUUAAUAUUCAGUAUUUAUUAUCAUUUGCAUGUUUUGAUGUUGCAUUUGUCAUGAUUUUAUUAAUUUCAUGUUAUUGUUGUCUAUUUAGAAUGAUUG